GGUUGUUGCUGGUUCUCUUGGGAGCAUGUGCACGCCUUGUCAUCUUUAUAUCUCCACCUGUGCACCUUUUGUAGACCUUUUACAGGUCUAUGUUGCUUCAUUUACCCCAAUGUAUGUUGAUAGAAUGUCGUCCUAUAAAAUAUAUACAACUUUCAGCAACGGAUCUCUUGGCUCUCGCAUCGAUGAAGAACGCAGCGAAAUGCGAUAAGUAAUGUGAAUUGCAGAAUUCAGUGAAUCAUCGAAUCUUUGAACGCACCUUGCGCUCCUUGGUAUUCCGAGGAGCAUGCCUGUUUGAGUGUCAUUAAUAUAUAUCAACCUUUCUCUUGUUGAAUGGUUUGGAUGUGGGGGUCUUGCUGGUCUCUAAUAGGGUUCAGCUCUCCUGAAAUGCAUUAGCAGAACAACCUGUUCAUUGGUGUGAUAACUAUCUACGCUUUUGAAUGUAAAGGGUUCAGUACUUUUUAACCGUCUUGGACAAUCUAUCAUUAUGUGA
This 490-nucleotide ribosomal RNA is filed under the name Cortinarius urbicus. RNAcentral describes it as "eukaryotic LSU rRNA". The stretch from base 148 to 301 matches the Rfam family "5.8S ribosomal RNA". Lineage: Eukaryota; Fungi; Basidiomycota; Agaricomycetes; Agaricales; Cortinariaceae. The record is from RNAcentral.